This 1039-nucleotide long non-coding RNA is filed under the name Sus scrofa (pig). RNAcentral describes it as "lncRNA (ENSSSCG00060067372.1)". The record is from RNAcentral. Lineage: Eukaryota; Metazoa; Chordata; Mammalia; Artiodactyla; Suidae.
UCAAUAGACCAUAGUUAAACUUUGAUUACAUUUACUACUUUGUAAGAAGACAAUGAAAACCCUUAUCCCAAUGACCCAAACUGAGACAGCAGCAUGGGGCCAUGACUCACCUUGGGCUCUCUCCUGCCACCACCGCCAGAGGAGGGGUCUCGGCCCCACGGAGCCUGGCUUUCGGUCUCUCUGGGCCGCGGAGGACCAGCUGGGCCCCUGUGCAGGACGUCCAAGAGACCUUCCUAGCCAGAGCUGUCCCAUCCCUGGGACGCCAGAGCCCUUCUGGACUGCUGGCCUCGCCCGCAUCUGCCGCCCACCCUCCACCAGCCCCUCGCACUGCCCUGCCCAGCCCAGCCCCGACAAGCCCUGGGAUGCUGCUCACACUGGCCUUCUGGAUCCAGAGACAACGCUGCCAUCCUCGCCUGCUCAUCCAGGAAGGAGCCUGCCUUCGGGUCCGGCGGCUGCACACUGAGGAGUACAAAGCCAAGAGCAGGAGACCCAAUGGCACAGCCAUUCUCCAGGCUCGCGGCUUCCACACACACACCUGGCCAUAGCCUGGCAUGCGGCAUACCAUGGGGGUCACCAAGGACCUGGCAAAUGCCUUCACUCCCUUUCUCUCUAGAUUCAGUUCUCUGAUACUGCCGGACGGGUGCUCACAUUUUCCCAUUGGGCUAACACCAGGAAAAUGCUGGAAUGCCCGUGCUCUGUCAGUCACCCUCGUCGUUUCCUGACCUCGGCCUAUUGGGUCACUGCUUUGUGGACAUUGAACCAGAUUCCUCCUUCAGUGGACCUCGGAGUUUCAGACAGGUUUUCAUCGUACAGGACGCAUAUGCCACCAGGAGUCAUCUUCAAUCCUAUACUGUCCCUCCUGUGUUCCCUUAGCUUGACCUUCUUUGUUGAUCAAUUUAUUAAAGGGCUGGGUAAGAUAUCAAUACCCUACCUGAACUUCCAGGGGUCCGUGGGAUGGGAAGCGUCUCAUGAUACCUGUCACCAUGGACUGUGCAAUUUGGUCUUGCCUUUACUCCCUCUCCCUUUCGUUUCCUUUUCU